UCAUUGUUUUCUUUACAGAUGUUCUCUACUAUAUUUACAUUCUUUAUAUUCAUUUAGCAUGACUUGCUGUCAGUUUUCAGUCUUUUCAUGCUUUGCAAUGACAAUUAAUCUCUCUUUAUAUUAUAGAAAAACCAACUUUUCUAUACAAAAAAUGCUGUAAUGUGAUCUCAUUUGACCUCACAUGCAUUCCAUUAAAUUCACAAAGAGAUUCAGCUCAACAGCCAGCUCUGCAGUCUGUACAGCUCUGAUAUUAAUCUUCAUUCUUUUCUUUAUAGAUAUUCUCUACUGUAUUUACAUUCUUUAUAUUCAUUUAGUAUAACUUACUGUC
Molecule: small RNA, 328 nt
Filed under: Histoplasma ohiense
Lineage: Eukaryota; Fungi; Ascomycota; Eurotiomycetes; Onygenales; Ajellomycetaceae
Description: hypothetical lncRNA
Source: RNAcentral